Molecule: ribosomal RNA, 253 nt
Filed under: uncultured bacterium
Lineage: Bacteria
Description: partial 16S ribosomal RNA
Rfam family: Bacterial small subunit ribosomal RNA
Source: RNAcentral
UACGAAGGGGGCUAGCGUUGCUCGGAAUCACUGGGCGUAAAGCGCACGUAGGCGGCUUCUUAAGUCAGGGGUGAAAUCCUGGAGCUCAACUCCAGAACUGCCUUUGAUACUGAGUAGCUUGAGUCCGGGAGAGGUGAGUGGAACUGCGAGUGUAGAGGUGAAAUUCGUAGAUAUUCGCAAGAACACCAGUGGCGAAGGCGGCUCACUGGCCCGGUACUGACGCUGAGGUGCGAAAGCGUGGGGAGCGAACAGG